Long non-coding RNA from Drosophila santomea, 700 nucleotides. RefSeq lists it as uncharacterized. The record is from RefSeq and is a predicted model, not a curated record. Lineage: Eukaryota; Metazoa; Arthropoda; Insecta; Diptera; Drosophilidae. The transcript has 3 exons.
CGGAAGUUAUGAUGUGAUAGGAAAAGUAGUAGUUUGUGUGUCGGUGUGUGUAAUAGUGGUUCCAGAGGCCAUUUGGGUAUCCCGUCGUCAUUCUGGAUGCAGUACAUCAUGGACCUGGCCAGAUGCAUCGAUUUGCGGUGAGGAACUCGCUCUCGACCUUUCCACCGAAGUGAACAGGCCAAGAAAAGCCGCAAAGUUCAUUAAGUCCCCAAGUGGCUAACUACACAUCAUGGAUUUCCUGCUGUCCCCCGCCAUUCCUCGAUUCCCUGUCAUCAUCCUCAAAUUUUGUCGUCGUGCUUUUGGGUUAUCAGUCCGGGUGUGAGUUUUGGUCGCCAGCUAUCCGGCGUUCAAGUAUCCAGUAUCACAGCUUUCCCCAGUUUCCCGUGUUCCCCAGCUCAACAGAUCUCUCAAUGGACACUGGCCGCAGAAAAUUCUUAGAAUUCCGGAAAUGAAUGUGCGCAAUUUCGCAUUGGGCAAACAGACAGAAACAGCCGAGAACCAACUACAUUUUCGGGUCCCCAGUGCCGGGAAAUUCAUGGCCACGGUUGGAUGAAAAGUGAGUGCACAUGAAAAAAAUCAAGAAAAUUUGUGAACUGCUAAGACGUUUUUUAAAAGAACAUUACAAUUUUGAACUUGGAUUUGCCCGGAUUGAAAUGCUAUCCGUAGCCCUAUUCCGUAGGGUCCUUUCCUGUCCGCCACA